This 483-nucleotide ribosomal RNA is filed under the name uncultured bacterium. Its description in RNAcentral is "partial 16S ribosomal RNA". It matches the Rfam family "Bacterial small subunit ribosomal RNA", at positions 43 to 523 of the family's 1533-position model. The record is from RNAcentral.
CAUGCCUAACACAUGCAAGUCGAACGGAACUUCUUUAAUUGAUUCUUCGGAAUGAUUUUGAUUAAGUUUAGUGGCGGACGGGUGAGUAACGCGUGAGUAACCUGCCUCUGAGAGGGGAAUAACAUUCUGAAAAGAAUGCUAAUACCGCAUAACAUAUAUUUAUCGCAUGGUAGAUAUAUCAAAGAUUUAUCGCUCAGAGAUGGACUCGCGUCCGAUUAGUUAGUUGGUGAGGUAACGGCUCACCAAGACCGCGAUCGGUAGCCGGACUGAGAGGAUAAACGGCCACAUUGGGACUGAGACACGGCCCAGACUCCUACGGGAGGCAGCAGUGGGGGAUAUUGCGCAAUGGGGGAAACCCUGACGCAGCAACGCCGCGUGAAGGAUGAAGGUCUUCGGAUUGUAAACUUCUUUUAUUAAGGACGAAGAAAGUGACGGUACUUAAUGAAUAAGCUCCGGCUAACUACGUGCCAGCCGCCGCCGUAA